Molecule: ribosomal RNA, 207 nt
Filed under: uncultured bacterium
Lineage: Bacteria
Description: partial 16S ribosomal RNA
Rfam family: Bacterial small subunit ribosomal RNA
Source: RNAcentral
CGUGUAGGUGGCUAAUUAAAUCAGGUGUGAAAUCCUUCCGCUUAACGGAAGAAGUGCACUUGAAACUGCUUAGCUAGAGUACGGGAGAGGAAGGUGGAAUUCCUGGUGUAGAGGUGAAAUUCAUAGAUAUCGGGAAGAACACCGGUGGCGAAGGCGGCCUUCUGGCCCGAUACUGACGCUGAGACGCGAAAGCGUGGGGAGCAAACA